CCUGUGAAACCCAAAAGUUCGAAUGGGGAGAUUCAUCGUCAGCGAUCGCGGUGUUCGUACGGCUCGCGAUGCCCGGGGGCCUCGGUCCCUUGGCACGCGUCCGUGCGUCCUCAAACCGCGCGUCGUCGGCGUGCACUUCUCCCCUAGUAGGACGUCGCGACCCGUUGGGUGUCGGUCUACGGCCCGGUUGGGCGCCUGUUCGGCGUGCGCUUCGCGGCGUUUCGCUGUUCAGACCACCGGUGUUCCUCCCGACCGGCUGCCCGGCGGUACACGCACGGUAUCGAGUCGCAAAAGUUGCGUCCGGCCCGACGCAAGCGUCGACCAUUGCCCUCGGAUGUACGGAUCCAAUGCCGUCGCCGUGGGCGGUCCGCUGUUGGCUGCGGUGCCCUGGGACAGGCUCAAACGCAAUGAUACCGGUCGGCGACGCUACUGCUUUGGGUACUCUCAGGA
This 450-nucleotide ribosomal RNA is filed under the name Apechoneura sp. CNC 422390. RNAcentral's name for it is "partial 28S ribosomal RNA". Lineage: Eukaryota; Metazoa; Arthropoda; Insecta; Hymenoptera; Ichneumonidae. The record is from RNAcentral.